AGAGGAGGAAGUAGGGCCAGGCACCUCCAUUCCCUGAGGGAUGAUUUCGGGGCAGAAGCUCAUCUCUAGAAGGGUUUGUAACCCAAAAGCAGGGUGGUAAGUUAAGAGCCGCUCACACAUUCAAGGAGUUCACAGGCACAGCGUCUAGUGCACUUCCUCUUGUAAGCAUUAGGGCUUGGAGGUUUGAAACAGACGCUGCUCCGUGGCCCCGUGGGAUGGCCACACGACCCACCUCCUUCACGAGCUCGCUCUGGGCUUUGUCUACUUUUAGGCUGCAGUUCGGGGUGACGUUUUGACUUUUCAGAUCUUAGUAAAGAGUACAAUGAAUUCACAGCUGGGCUGCAGGAGUCUCUAUGCAUGACAACCCCCAGAAGCUGGCUGCAGCAGAGAGGGUGGUGAGUCCUGUGGCCCCCUGGCCAGCACCCGAGCUGCAGGCUUAUCUUCAGCUUGCCCAUCUUAUCUUCCUGCCCUGUCUCCCCACCCACUUCAACCACUUCUGUCCAUCAAAAGCUGAUCUUUCAUCCUACUUCAAGUUAAGCAGCAUCUGGUAAUUUAAAACAGCUUUAACCAUGAAACACAAAGAGGCCUUCUCCUAUGAGAACUAAGUCUUCCUGUGAUAUUCAUUUACGUCAGUUAACCGCCUUUCAAAUUUCCGUUGGAAAGUUAGUAAAUGAGACAAUAAACAUUGAUCUAAAGGUGAAAGAGCCUCACGAAGUGAUAGUUAUUUUUUAUCAUCCAUAAUUAAGUUUUGCCUCUGAUAAAUAUUAAAUAGCAAAUACAUUUUUGAAAAAGACAGGACACAUGGCAAUGAUGCCAGAGCUUUAAGUAAUGGGAGGGAGAGGCCAAUUCUAUAGGAAUAUUAGCAAGAUGGAUACUCAGAAAAGUGAAACGACGUCCAGUUUGUCAGAUUCCUGCCCCGAAGAGCCCUGGGUGUUUGGUCUUGUGGGCUUAGUUCUGAUGUCCACAGCAGUGCUGAGCUCUUGCCGGUGCCCGGGUUUGUUCCCAGCAAUGGGCCAAGCCACAGUGAACCACAAGGUAAAGAUCAGCUAGGAG
Molecule: long non-coding RNA, 1053 nt
Filed under: Heterocephalus glaber (naked mole-rat)
Lineage: Eukaryota; Metazoa; Chordata; Mammalia; Rodentia; Bathyergidae
Description: lncRNA (ENSHGLG00100039067.1)
Source: RNAcentral